Molecule: ribosomal RNA, 253 nt
Filed under: uncultured bacterium
Lineage: Bacteria
Description: partial 16S ribosomal RNA
Rfam family: Bacterial small subunit ribosomal RNA
Source: RNAcentral
UACGUAGGCAACAAGCGUUGUUCGGAGUUACUGGGCGUAAAGAGUGCGUAGGCGGUCCUGUAAGUUUGGUGUGAAAUCUCCCGGCUCAACUGGGAGGGUGCGCCGAAGACUGCAGGGCUUGAGUAUGGGAGAGGUAAGCGGAAUUCCUGGUGUAGCGGUGAAAUGCGUAGAUAUCAGGAGGAACACCUGUGGUGUAGACAGCUUACUGGACCAUAACUGACGCUGAGGCACGAAAGCGUGGGUAGCAAACAGG